AACGAACGCUGGCGGCAUGCCUAACACAUGCAAGUCGAACGAUAUCUUCGGGUCUAGUGGCGCACGGGUGCGUAACGCGUGGGAAUCUGCCCUUUGGUUCGGAAUAACAGUUGGAAACGACUGCUAACACCGGAUGAUGACGAAAGUCCAAAGAUUUAUCGCCAGAGGAUGAGCCCGCGUAGGAUUAGCUAGUUGGUGUGGUAAAGGCGCACCAAGGCGACGAUCCUUAGCUGGUCUGAGAGGAUGAUCAGCCACACUGGGACUGAGACACGGCCCAGACUCCUACGGGAGGCAGCAGUGGGGAAUAUUGGACAAUGGGCGAAAGCCUGAUCCAGCAAUGCCGCGUGAGUGAUGAAGGCCUUAGGGUUGUAAAGCUCUUUUACCCGGGAUGAUAAUGACAGUACCGGGAGAAUAAGCUCCGGCUAACUCCGUGCCAGCCGCCGCGGUAA
Molecule: ribosomal RNA, 449 nt
Filed under: uncultured bacterium
Lineage: Bacteria
Description: partial 16S ribosomal RNA
Rfam family: Bacterial small subunit ribosomal RNA
Source: RNAcentral